This 214-nucleotide unclassified non-coding RNA is filed under the name Hevea brasiliensis (rubber tree). The record is from RNAcentral. Lineage: Eukaryota; Viridiplantae; Streptophyta; Magnoliopsida; Malpighiales; Euphorbiaceae.
GGAAGAUGACAUUAGAAGCAUAAGCAGAUUUCAUUCCAUAAACCUUCGUCAGAUAGAGUAUCAUACUCGGCGAUAAACCCUGAUUCGCGAGCUUCUCAAGUGCUCCAUUAGCGAUUAUGAAAGGCAAGGUUCUUAAGCCUCCUUUGCCAUCGGUGGUGCUCAACAGUGGCUCUUCCAUGUCUCUAUCUUCAUCGGCAACCAAUGGACCUUCCAU